This 468-nucleotide ribosomal RNA is filed under the name uncultured bacterium. RNAcentral describes it as "partial 16S ribosomal RNA". It matches the Rfam family "Bacterial small subunit ribosomal RNA", at positions 28 to 507 of the family's 1533-position model. The record is from RNAcentral.
GACGAACGCUGGCGGCGUGCUUAACACAUGCAAGUCGAACGGAAAGGCCCUGCUUUUGUGGGGUGCUCGAGUGGCGAACGGGUGAGUAACACGUGAGUAACCUGCCCUUGACUUUGGGAUAACUUCAGGAAACUGGGGCUAAUACCGGAUAGGAGCUCCUGCUGCAUGGUGGGGGUUGGAAAGUUUCGGCGGUUGGGGAUGGACUCGCGGCUUAUCAGCUUGUUGGUGGGGUAGUGGCUUACCAAGGCUUUGACGGGUAGCCGGCCUGGGAGGGUAACCGGCCACAUUAGGACUGAGGUAGGGACCAGUCUCGUACGGGAGGCAACAGGGGGAAACAUUACACAGUGAGGGGGAGUCUGAUGCGGAAACGCCGCGUGCGGAAUGACGGCUUUCGGGUUGUGAACAGCUUUCGCCUGUGACGAAGCGUGCGUGACGGUAAUGGAUAAAGAAGCACCGGCUAACUACGUG